GUCAUUGGUGCAAGUUGACAUUCGUUUGACGCAUUUUUUGUUUUGUUUGUGGGUGUUUCUUCAAUUUUUUGCCAUUUUAGGCAUUUAUAUACUAUUCGUUCAUUUUCCGGCUAUUAUUAAAGAAGUAAUGUUUUUUAUGUUAUUUGUCACAAUAUUCUAAGGUGAUUUGUUAAAGUCAAAAUUCUAUUGUGUUAUUUUUUUUAUUGUUUAUUUGUGUAUGUAAAUUUUUUGGCAAUUUAAGUAAUAUUCGACCACUUCCGGGCUAUUACGAAAAGAAGUAAAGUUCUGUUCUGCUAUUUUUCACGAUAUUCAAAGGUCAUUGGUGCAAGUCCAAAAUAUGUGAGGCUUUAUUAAAUUUUUGUGUGUAUCUUCAUUUUACAUCAAAUUUGUGGCAUUACGUAAUAUUCAACCAUUAUUUAGUAGUUACGGAAAGAAGUAAAAUUAUGUUCUAUUAAUUAUCACGAUAUUCUAAGGUCAGUCAUUAGUACAAGUAAAAAUUUGUGUUGUGUUUUUUGUAUUGCUUAUGUUUGUUAAUUUUUCAGCCAAUUUUGGGCAUUACAUAAUAUUCAACCAUUUAUGGGCAUUAAAACAAACAGAAGUAAAAUUUGUUCUGUUAUUCAUCAUGUUAUUAAAAGUUCAUUGGUGCAAAUCCUAAUUUUUUAAGGCAUUUUUUGUAUUUUUUUUGUGUUUCUUGACUUUACAAUAAUUUUGAGGUAUUCACAUAAUAUUAAAUAAUUUUUGGGCAGUUAAUAAAAUAAUUAAUGUCUUGUUCUGUUAUUUAUCGUGAUAUUCUAAGGUUAUUGGUACAAUUCAAAAAUUUAUUGAGGGAGUAUUUGUAUUGGUUUUUUCAGUGCUUCUUGAUUUUUAAGCCAUUUCAAGGCAUUUACGCAAUACUUCGCCAUUUUUUGUUAGUAACUAAAAAAAGAUAAGUUUUGUUCUAUUAUUCAUCACGAUAUUCUAAUGUCAUUGGUAAAAGUCAAUUUUAUGAGGCAAUUAUUGUAUUGUUUAUGUGUGUUUCUUUAUUUUUCUAUCAUUUUGAAGGCAAUUACGUAAUAUUCCCUUUUAGGGAAAUAACAAAAAGAUUAAAGUUUUGUUCUCUUUUUUGACCAAUAUUCUAUGUUAGUUGGUGCAAGUAAAAAAUUAUUUGAGUGUUUAUAUUGUUUAUGUGGAUCUCUUCAUUUUUCCACCAUUUACGUUCAUUUUCAGGCAAUUACGAAAUGAAGAAAACUUUUGUUCAGUUAUUCAUCAAAAUAUUCUAAGUUCAUUGGUGCAAGUCAAAAAAUUUGAAGAAUUGUAUGUAUUGUUUAUGUGUGCUAUUUGAUUAUUAGAUUAUUUCAGGACAUUUAGGUAAUAUUUGGCUAUUUUUGGGUAAUUACAAAAGAAGUAAAGCUUUGUUGUGUCAUUCAUCACAAUAUUCUACGGUCAUUCAGUUAAGUUGAAAAUUUAUGAGGCAUUUUUUGUAUUUUUUAUGUGUAUUUCUUUAUUUUUGGCCAUUUGAAACAUUUACGUAAUAUUUAGCCAUUUUCGGGCUACAGAAAUAAAUAAUGUUUUGCUCCUUUAUUCAUCGUGAUAUUCUAAGGUUUAUGGUGCAAGUUGAAAUAGUUUUGAGGUAUUUUUUGUAUUGUUUAUAUGUGUUUCUUGAUUUUUCGGGCCUUUUGGGCGUUUUUGUAAUAUUUGGUUAUUUUCUGGCACUUACUAAAAUAAGUAAACUUUUCUUCUAGUAUUUGUCUCGAUACUAUUAGGUUAUUAGUGCAAGUCAAAAAAAUUUGAGUCAUUUUUCUACUGUUCAUGGGAUUUCCUUGAUUUUUUCCCCAUUUAUGGGUAUUCAAUAAUAAUCAAACAUUUUCAUGCAAUUAUAAAAUGAAAUAAAAAUUUGUUUUGUUAUUCGACAUGAUAAUCUAAGGUCAUUGGUGUAAGUUGAAAUGGUUUUUGACCCUUUUUAUAUUGUUUCUAGUGUUUCUUUAUUUUCAACAAUUUUGGCUAAUUAUGUAAUAUUUGGCAAUACUCGGAAGUUACCAAAAGAAAUAAUGUUUUGUUCUUUUAGUCGUCAUGAUAUUUAUGUGGUCAUCGGUGUAAGAAAAAAUAUUUUGAGGUGUUUUUGUAUUUUCUAUGCGUAUUUGUUGAUUUUUAACCCUUUUGAGGUAUUUUCGUGACGUUCAUCCAUUUUAGGAAAGUUACGAAAAGAAAUAAUUUUGUGUUCAAUUAUUCGUCACAAGACCUAAUGUCAUUGGAGCAAGUCGGAUAUGUUUUUCUAGCAAUUUUUGUAUUAUUGACGUGUGCUUCUUGAUUUUAAGUCAUUUUGGGGAAUAUGCAUAAUAUUCGGUAAUUUUCAGGUAGUGACGAAAAAAAUAAAGUUUUAUUUAGUUAUUCAUCCUGAUAUUAUAUGGUCAUGACGUAUUUUGCAUUGUUUAUGUGUGUUUGUUAAUUUUACGGUCUUUUUGGAUAUUUAUGUAAUAUUUUGUCAUUUUAGGGUAAAGAAGAAGAGAAGUAAAGUUUUCUUCGGUUACUCUUCAUGAUAUUAUAACUUCAUUGAUGCAAAUCAAAACUUUUCAGAUGUUUUUGUAUUUUUUAUGUGUAUUUCUUGAUUUUUUAGCCAUUUGGGACCUUUACGUAAUAUUAUGCCAGUUUUGGACAGUUACAAAAAGAAGUAAUGUUUUGUUCAUUUAUUCAUUACGAUAUUCUAAGGUCAUUGGUGCAAGUUCAAAAAAUUUUAAGUCAAUUUUUUAUUGUUUUAUGCAUUUACAUAUUAUUUCACCAUUGGUGGGCACUUAUGAAAGAAGUAAAGUUUUCUUCUGUUAUUUGUCAUUAUAUUCUACGAUUAUUGGUAAAGGUCAAAAUAUUCUGGAGUUGUUUUUUGUAUUGUUUAUUUAUUUGUGUAUCGUUAUUUUCUACAUUUUUAGUAAUAUUCUGCCAUUUUCGGGCAGUUGUGAAAAGAGGUAAAGUUUUGUUUUGCUAUUCAUCACGAUAUUAAAAGGUCAUUGUUGCAAGUCCAAUUUUUGUUUUAGUUUUUUUUUGUUAUUUUUUAUGUGUCUAUCUUGAUUUUUCAUCAAUUUUGGGGUAUUAUGUAGUAUUCGGCCAUUUUUAUGAAUAUAAAAAAGAAGUAUUAUUUUUUUUUACUUGUCGCAAUAUUCUAAUGUCAUUCGUGCAAGUCAAAAAAUAUUUAAGGUGUUUUUUUAUUGUUUAUGCGUGUUUCUGGAUUUUUUGCUAUUUUGGAGCAUUGAAGUAAUAAUCCUUCAUUCUUGGGAAGUUACAAAAAGAAGUAAAAUUUUAUUCCUUUUAUUCCUCAUGAUAUUCUAAGGUAAUUGGUGUAAGUCAAAAUAAUUUAAGCCGUUUUUUGUAUUGGUUAUGUGUGUAUCUUCAUUAUUCAGCUACUAUAGGUCAUUUAUGUAAUAUUUGGCAACUUUUAGGUAGUUAUGAAAAGAAUAAAAGGGUUUUUCUAUUAUUCGUCAUGAUAUUCUAGUGUCACUGGUGCAAGUCGAUAUUUUUUCGAGGCAUUUUUGUAUCAUUUAUGUGUGUUUCUUGAUUUUUUGGCAAUUUUUGGACAUUUACGUAAUUUUGGGUCCUUCGUUGACAGUUACAAAAAAAGUAUGUUUUUUUCCUAUUAUUCGUCACUAUUUUCUAAGGCCGUUGAUGCAAGUCAAAAAAGAUUUGAGGCACUUUUUGCAUUGUUUUUGUGUGUUUAUUGAGUUUUCGGUCAUUUAGUGGAAAUUAAAGAAUAUUCGGUCAUUUUCGGAAGUUUAGAAAUAUGUUGUUCUGUCAUUCGUCACUGUAUUCUAAGAUCAUUGGUGUAAGUCAAAAAAUUUUGUGGCUUAUUUUAAUUGUUUGUGCGUGUCUUGAUUAUUUUGUAAUUUUGCGGUAUUUCCAUAAUAUUCUGUCAUUUUUUUACAGUUACGAAAUGAAAUUAAGUUUUGUUAUGUGAUUCGUCACGGUAUUCUAAGGUCACUAAUACAAGUCAAGAAAAUUUAGGCUUUUUUGAAUUGUUUAUGUCUGGUUCUUUAUUAAUCAGACGAUUUAGCGCAUUUACGUAAUAUUUACCCAUUUUCGAACAAUUAUUAAAGAUUAGUUAGUUGGUUCGGUUAUUAUCACGAUAUUCUAAUGUCAUUUGUUCAAGUCAAAAAUUUUACUGGCGUUUGUUAUCAUUUAUGUGUGUUUCUUUAUUUUUCAAUAUUUCAGAAAUUUAUGUAAUAUUCGGUUAUUUUUGGGCAGUUAGAAAAGUAAAGUUAUGUUUUGUUAUUAAUCACAAUAUUUUUAUGUCCUUCAUCAAUGUUGAAAUUCUUUUGAGACGUGUUUUGUAUUGUUUAUGGAUUUUUUUAAUGUUUCAACCAUAUUGGGCAUUGGCGUAAUAUUCGUCCAUUUCAAGAAGUUACAAAAAGAUGUAAAGUUUUUCUCUCUUAUUCGUCACAACAUUCUAAGGUCAUUGGUGCAAGUGAAAAAAAUUAAGGUACUUUUUGUAUUGUUUAUGUGCUUCUUCAAUUUUCAGUCAUUUUCUCUCUGUUACGAAAAGAAGUAAAGUUUUAUUCUUUUAUUUGUCGCGGUAUUCUAAAUUCAUUGGUGCAAGUCAGAAAAAUUGCAGUGUUUUUUGUAUUUUGUAUGUGUCUUUCUUGAUUCUCAGUAAUUUUGAGGCAUUUACGCAAUAUUCGGUAAUUUUCUGGCAGUUAUGAAAAGAAGUAAAAUAUUAUUAUGUUAUACGUCACGAUAUUCUAUGGUCACUAGUGCAAGUUGAUUUUAUUUCACGCAUUUUUCUAUUGUUUGUGUGUAUUUGUUGAUUUAUCGGCCAUUUUUGAAUAUUUACAUAUUUUUCGGCCAUUUUCUGGAUGUUAUGAAUAAAAUAAAGUUUGAUUCCUUAUUCCUCACGAUAUUCCUUGGUCAUUAGUUCAAGUUGAAAUUUGUUUUUAGGUGUUUAUUUGUUUUAUGUGUGUUUCUUUAAUUUUUAGUCAUUUACAUAAUAUUCGGCCAUUUUUGGGCAAUUACGGAAAUAAGUAAUGUUUUCUUUUGUUAUUUGUCACGAUAUUUUAAGGUCAUUAGUUCAAGUCCAAGAAUUUUUUAUGCAUUUUCUUUAUUGUUUAUGUAUAUUUCCUCAUUUUUGGUCAUUUUCGGGCAUUUACGUUAUAUUCUGCCAUUUUUCAGAUAGUUACGAAAAGAGGUAAAGUUUUGUUUUUCAUUCAUCAGAUUUUCAUUGGUGCUUGUUGAAAUUUUUUUGAGGUGUUUUUGUAUGGUUUGACAUUUGUUUUGUUUAUUUUUGGGCAUUGACAUAAUAUUCUGCCAUUGUCGGAUCGUUACGAAAAAAAGUAAAGAUUUGUUCUUUUUAUUUGUCACGAUAUUCUAAGGUCACUAGUCCAAGUAGAAUUUUUUUUAUAUGUUUUUGUAUUGUUUAUGUGUUUCUUUAUUUUUCGAUCAUUUUGUUGCAGUUAUAUUAUAUUGUUCAUUUUUGCGUAGGUACAAAAUGAAUUAAAGUUAUUGUUUUUUAUUCGUCAUGAUAAGCAAGAGAAUUUAUGAAGUGCAAACAAUUAAAGGAAUUUUAAGAGUCAAGUCUUAUAAUGCAAGUGCACAUAAGCAAGAGAAUUUAUGAGUCAAGGAUUGAAUUAGUGGCAUUUUUAGGCCAUAUUGUGUCUAAAUAAUGAAUUAAAGUUGAUACUCAAAAUUUGAGGCAGUGCUGAUUUUUCCUAGACCCAUAUCUCCGACUGAUAUGAGGAGUUUCUUUGUUUUGGCUGGCUAUUAUCAAAGGUUAGUAGAGGGGUUCUCGUCAAUUUCGUCUCCUAUGAUGAAAUGGACUCAGAAGAAAAUUAUGUUCAAUGGUUUGAAACUUGUAAGAAAAACUUUCAGAAAUUGAAUAAGAAGUUGACUAAUGCCCCAAUUUUGACCUUACCAUAAGGUACACAAGGUUUUGUUAUCUAUUGUGAUGCGUCUACAGUAUGUUGUGGCUGCGUAUUGAUAUAGAAUGGUAAUGCUAUUGCUUAUGCCUCCAUAUAUUUGAAAGUUCAAGAGAAUAACUACCUACCAGAUGACUUAUACUUGGUCUUUGUAGUAUUUUCUAUGAACAUAUGGUGUCACUAUUUUAAUGGUAUUCAUGUUGAUGUAUUUACUGAUCACAAGAGCCUUCAAUAUCUCUUCACUCGGAAAGAUCUUAAUCACAGACAAAUGAGGUGUUUAGAAUUGAUCAAAGAUUAUGACAUGAGUAAUAUUUAUCACAAGGUAAGGCUAAUGUUGUUGCGAAUACCUUAAGCAGGUUGCCUAUUGUAAUACCACCCAUGUUGAGUAUGAAAAGAGAGAGUUAGAGAACGAUGUACAUAGACUUGCAUGAUUAGAAUUCCGACUAAUGGAUUCCACGGAAGGACGAGUAGUGAUGAAUGGGGUUGCAUCAUCAGUAAUGUCAGAAGUAAAAUAAAAGCAAGACCAUGACGCUAUUUUUCUUGAAUUAAAUGCAAUUGUCCAUAAGAAAAAGUAUUGUCCUUUGAACUAGAGGGAUAUGGUGUAUUAAGUUAUCAAGGUAGAAUGUGUGUAGCAAUGGUGUAUGGACUCCAAGAGAGGAUCAUGGAGGAAGCUCAUAGAUUCAAUAUUCCAUUCAUCUGGGUUCCAAAAAGAUGUAUCAUGACUUUAUAAAGGUUUAUUGGUGGAAUAGUAUGAAGAGGUAAUUGCAGAUUUUGUUGCUAACUGGACAAAUUACAAACAAGAUAACGUAGAGCACCAAAGGCCCGGUGGUUUUGCUAAGAAUAUUAAUCUUACGAAAUGGAAGUGGAAGAUGAUAAAUAUGAAUUUUAUCAAAACCUCAUAGGUUUACCAAGGUCUCCAAAUCACCAUGAUUCCUUUUGGGUGAUCGUAAAUAAAACGACAAAAUUAGCCCACUUUUCUAUGGUAAAAACCAUCCAUUAGGCAGAAGAUUAUGUUAAGUUAUAUCUCCAAGAAGUAGUUAGAGUUCAUGGUGUUCCAGUAUCCAUUAUUUAAUAAAGAGGUGCGCAAUUUACUACACAAUAAUAGAAAUAUUUUAGGAAAGGGUUGGGUUGAAAGGUAAACUUAAGUACCACAUAUCAUCCUUAGACUGUUUGGCAAGCAGAUUGCACUAUACAGACACUAGAGGAUAUGUUGGGGGCAUAUGUGAUCGAUUUUAAUGGUAAUUAGGGUGAUCUCCUACCUCUUAUCGAGCUCACUUAUACAAUAUUUACCACUCUAGCAUCCAAAUGGCUCCUUAUGAAUAUCUUUAAGGGAGAAGAUGCAUAUCUCCUAUUGGAUUGUUUGAAAUUUGUUAAGUAGCAUUGAUAGGACCAGAUGUAGUUCAUCAAGCUAUUGAGAAGUAAAUGUUAUUCGAGAAAUGUUGAAAGUAGCAUAUAGUCGUCAUAAAUCCUACAUUGAUGUUUUGAAAAGAAAGUUAGAGUUUGAAGUAGAUGAUUGGUGUAUUUAAAGAUUCACCCAUGAAUGGUGUUGUGAGGUUAAGUAAGAAGGGGAAGCUUAGUCCCUCGUAUUUUUUACCUUAUGGAAUAUCCAAGAGGAUUGUCAAUGUAGCUUAUCAGUUGCAGCUACCACAAGAGUUUGUCGCGGUUCAUUCGGUGUUUCACAUCUCCAUGUUGAAAAAGUUCAUGGGAGAUCCAUCAUUGAUCAUACCAAUUUAAGAUAUUGGGAUCAAGUAUAACUUAUCUUAUGAGGAGAUUCUUGUUCGAAUUCUAGAUCGCCUAGUUAACAAGUUGAGGUCAGAAGAUGUAGCAUCAGCCAUCGUCCUUUGGAGGAACCAAUUGAAGGAAGAUCAUUAGGAAGCUGAGGACGAUAUCAAGAAGAUAUAUGCACAUAUUUUUGAAUCUGGAGUAAGCGCAAACCAAGGUUCCGAUCGUUAAAAGGCUUGUUCCUAGUUUGCAAGAAGGCUCGGAUCAUUCCACCUAGUGUGGGCAUGUCCUCAUGUUCCGAGCAGGAUGCCUUUCUUACUCUAGGUAUGUUGCAUUGUUAUAAUAUAAAGACAAUCAUUUGCCUCUUUUGUUUUAAGACAUUGUUGUAAGCCCUAAGUGGAAUUUAUUUAUUUUUGUAAGGGUUUUGCCCAUAUUGUUCGAUUUCAUUUAGAUGGUUCAAUAUGAGACAUCCCAUUUAAGACUCUAUUGUGUAUCUUUUAUAUGUAUACAUAUAUAUAUAUGUGUGUGUGUGUAUGUGUGUGAGUUUAUGCCAUAAAAGAAGAAAAUUGUGUAAUAUUCUUAUACGAGUGGUUUAUGUAUACUCGCUAUGAAUACAUUAUUUGUAAGCUAGAGGUCUAAGUAAACCUCAUGAAGUAAUUGUAGAUGAAAAGUUUUAAAUUUUCCUCAUUUUUAACCUAUGAAUGUACUCAUGAAUGCUAAGAGUCUAGUCUUAGUCCUUUCCAAGUACGACGUGCUGGUUAAGUCUUGUGUGCUCCCUGGUUGUGACAAACAUGGUAUUAAAUCAUGAGGUUGAUUAUCUCUAGAAUCGAUUUCUCAUUAAACAACGUCUGUGUAGAUUUUUAUACAUAAUUGUGAAGCGCGCCACACUUAUAAAUGAGAGAUUAUGUGAUUCUUAGGAAACUCUCAUCUUCUCGCAUUCCUAUUUUGUGCCUCUAAAGUAGUAUUUUGUGCUUUCACCUAUACCUUUUAUUGUGGUUAUAACUAUGAAUACUUGAAGGGAAGCGACAAGAAGGGCCAAAAAAGGUAUUGCCAAUGUGAGGGCUAAUGACAAUCAACCUCCUCCACAAGACAACUAAGUGACUCCCCUUGAAGAAGUUGCUAUAAAUUGUCAAGUUUGGGUUGUUCCUCCACCUAUGAUGGAUGGAAAGAUAAGGGCGACUUUUCUCAAUUUGUCCUAAGCUAAUGCGGUAACUUCUCAAGUCCAAGACCUGAUGACCCAAAUAAAUAGGGAGGUCGAACCCCAAGUGCCUCAACAUUCUAGAGCUAUGGCUUCUCGUUUGAGAGACUUUUCUUGAAUUAACCCACAUGUGACAGCCGUAAAAAUGAAUAUGCUAUGUAAUGGUUAAUGUGUCUUGAAUGCC
Non-coding RNA from Solanum lycopersicum (tomato), 8974 nucleotides. Lineage: Eukaryota; Viridiplantae; Streptophyta; Magnoliopsida; Solanales; Solanaceae. The record is from RefSeq and is a predicted model, not a curated record.